Long non-coding RNA from Mustela erminea (ermine), 1034 nucleotides. RefSeq lists it as uncharacterized. The record is from RefSeq and is a predicted model, not a curated record. The transcript has 2 exons. NCBI's taxonomy places the organism in Eukaryota, Metazoa, Chordata, Mammalia, Carnivora, Mustelidae.
AAAUGAGCCACCCAGGCACCCUAAAGAAAAAAUUUAAUCCAGUUAAAAAUAGGAGCUCCAUGAAAAGAGCUUUUACCUGAAUUGAAACAUUGUGAAGUAUAAUUGUAGAAUUAAAAAUUAAAUUGGUCCACAUUUUGAACUCUCAUUAUAUAACAUGUUCAGUUAUUCCAUUGUUUUCAUGGGGGUAAAUUUUAAUAUCUUCUUGUUUGCAAGACUGUCUUUCAAUAAUUACAAUUCACUAAACCAAAAACUAAGUUUUUUGGCAUUCCAUAUUUUGGAUACUUCAUUUAAAAUCUUUAAAUUACUUUGACUAAAAUUCAACCCAAAGUUAGAGGCUCAUUUACCAAAAAAAUUUAGGAUAAUUAUAGGACACAUCAUUUCAUAUACAAACUAGUUCUUCAAAGGCUCAAGCAUUUCUAAAAUUCUGGUUGAUGAUGCGUAGCAAAGAUGGACCACAUAUACUACCAUCCUGAAGUGUUUCUUUUAAUUAUCAUCCAUCUUAUUGUAAAAAUUUUACAGUUCAGUUUCUCUGUGAAUAUACAAAAAUAUUUAAUUUGCACAACCUCAGCUCUUCUUUUAAUUAGUAAAAUACUGUAGCUUGUUUGGAUAUAGUGACACAUUAUGUAUCUACCACAACCAAGUUAAAGUACAUUGAUCUGUACAUUUCUCGAUUUAUCAAGAACAUUAUUUUUAUUCUGAUGUUGUGCUCCACCAAAUUUGUGUUUAUGCUGUCACCGCAAAACCAAAAACUUACACUUGAUUUUUCAUUUUUUAGCUGAAUUUAUAGCAAUAUUUAUUAUAAUGUUAGAAUUUUUAAUCUUUCAAGAUUGAGUAUCAAAAAGCUUUGCUGUGAUUGCGUGAAAAGUCACACCAAAAAAUUCAAACAAUUAUUAUAAUUAACUGAUUUUUCUAUUUUGAAGCAUUUGAAGACACUGAUGUGAAACUGGACUCAUUUAUUUGUGUACAAAUUCUUUUUAUACUAAAGAACAAAUGGAGGCAACACAUUAAAGCUUUCCUUUGUAGCCCCCCACCAA